AUAUUUUUUAUUUCUUCUUCAUCAGGAAACACCUUUAAUUCACUAUUUUGCUCCUCUGAGAUCAGCCGAUGAAUAUGCUUCAAAAUAUCAAAUUCAGUUGCUUCUGCUUCUGCAAUAAACAGAUUUUGAAAUAAAAUUUUAGCUUCCACUACAAUAUCCUCUUCUGUCUCUAACCACACACCAUUCUGAUUCUGGAUUCUGGUUAGCUGUAGCUUUUUCCUCUUUCCUUUCACAUGUGCAUGAAAGAAUUUUGUGUUUCUGUCUCCAUUCAUAAACCACUGCAUACUAGAUUUAUUCUUCCAAAAUUUCUCCUCUAUAGCAUAAAACUUAGUCAAUUCUGCUUGUACUUUCUGUAGCAUUUCUCUAUUAGCUCCUGUAGGAUUUUCUUCAAAUUCCUGUUCAUGAAUCUUGACCACCUCUUCCAAAGUCUCUAUCUGCCUAAAGAUAUCCCCAUAAGUAUCUCUACUCCAUUUAGACAAUACUUUGCUCAGAUUUUUCAACUUAUUAUGGAAAAUAUAAAAAGGAUCUGAUCCAUGAUGCCCUAUCCAAUUAGUUCUCACAACUUCCUGGAAAGAAGGAUGUUCAAUCCAAAAAUUUAAGAACCUGAAGGAUUCUUUAAUUACCCUGCUGUCCUCUGAGCAAGUGAUCAACAAAGGCGAAUGAUCUGACCCCUGUUUAAUCAGAUGCUCCACCUCAAAAUUAGGGUAUGUAUCUUGUAGUUAUUGAUUAGCCAAACACCUAUCCAGUCUUUUGAAAAUGCAUUGUUCAUCUGAUCUUCCAUUCCACCAUGUAUACAUGCUGCCUUUGAAACCCAUAUCUGUGAGUUGACAAAUGUUGAUACAUUGAUUGAAAUCCUCUACUUCCACAAAUGGCACUUCUAAUCCCCCAUAUUGCUCAAUAUCAUCCACUAUUACAUUGAAAUCUCCUCCUACUAGCCAUGGAGAAUUGAUGCUGGUAGAUAUAUGGUACAGAUCAUUCGAUAAAUCCACCCUAGUAGCUCUGUCUGUGGUAGCAUAUAUUAAGAUGCAACUUUGGGUGCAUGACUUUCCUCGCCCUUUUUUGGGUCGAUAUUCUAGAUGAAUUACCCAACAGCACAUAUAUAUCAUGCCCUUGAAGUUUGCAAUGUGUGCAGUAUUUUGGUCAUGUAGAUCAGGCCGUCCAUACGAAAACUUGGCAAUCACUGCGUAUUUCAAGUUUUGUCUGCGGGAAAGUUCUUCAAAUUCCUUUUUUGUCCAUGACAUUGUUGGUUCUCCAUGCAAGUAUGUAAUAGGUUUAAUUGUUAACUUCUCUUCUUGCGUGGAUGGUUGUAGGGCUGUAGCAUAAUUCAAUUUUGGUGUGGUAUUAGUAGUAGGGUGUGGAGGCGCACCGGCCACCAAUGGUGGCUGGCCGCCGGCCGUCAUGGCCAUGCCGAGGUUUUCAAGUUUUAGGGUUUUGCGUCAAUAUUGAAGAGAGAGAACUUUUUUUUUCCUUGAGCCAGCCAACUUUUUUUUUUCAAGUGAGUCACAGGCCAAAAGUCAUAAGUUGGUCAUUCAUAACUUAUUAUUUUUCAGCUUAUAAUCACUUCAUG
Molecule: long non-coding RNA, 1567 nt
Organism: Lycium barbarum (goji berry)
Lineage: Eukaryota; Viridiplantae; Streptophyta; Magnoliopsida; Solanales; Solanaceae
Exons: 3
Source: RefSeq, a predicted model, not a curated record